UUUUUAAUAAUUAAUUUGAACUGAAUCAAAAAUGAUGACAGACUUUGUUAGACUAAUUGAAAUCCGUCUAGGAAGUAGCCCUGCAAACACUCCACCGACGCAAGUAAAUAUUGAUUUAUGGAGAGUAAGAUGCAUUGAGAUGAAAAAAUGUUUGUACCUUCUUUAUUGACAAAGCAUUGUUUAUGGAAUCCAAUAGAUAUGACACAAUAUAAGUGGUAAUUUGUAAUGUCUUGAGUCCAAUUAUUGAUAGCAUAUUAGUACAAUGAUUCAUAUGCGAAUUUUCUCAGGAAAAGAGCGAGGUCUUCAUCUUUGAUACGACUAUGGAAAACAAUAAUUCUACAUAAUGGUAACGAUCAUGGAAUUAAAACCGGAGAACCAUUAUGAAUAAGCUUUUGGCUUUUUUUAUAGGAGAAUAAGCUUUUGGCUAUAUGUUGGCCAUGUAUAAUCGACUUUUGAGUGGUGGAGUUUCUUUUUUCUUUUGAUACCAUCAUAUAACCACGUGUUCCUUAAAAAAAUAAUCAUGUAACCACUGUGCUAUUUUAUCAAAUAGAAAGAAUUUUCUAAUAUUCAUUUUGAGAUUGAAGAAAC
RNAcentral lists this long non-coding RNA (588 nucleotides) under Cicer arietinum (chickpea). Its description in RNAcentral is "long non-coding RNA (CARI_LNC002115)". The record is from RNAcentral. Lineage: Eukaryota; Viridiplantae; Streptophyta; Magnoliopsida; Fabales; Fabaceae.